This 468-nucleotide ribosomal RNA is filed under the name uncultured bacterium. RNAcentral's name for it is "partial 16S ribosomal RNA". It matches the Rfam family "Bacterial small subunit ribosomal RNA", at positions 28 to 507 of the family's 1533-position model. The record is from RNAcentral.
GACGAACGCUGGCGGCGUGCUUAACACAUGCAAGUCGAACGGAAAGGCGCUGCUAUCGUGGGGUGCUCGAGUGGCGAACGGGUGAGUAACACGAGUGUAACCUGCCCUUGACUUUGGGAUAACUUCAGGAAACUGGGGCUAAUACCGGAUAGGAGCUCCUGCUGCAGGGGGGGGGGUGGAAAGUUUCGGCGGUGGGGGAUGGACUCGCGGCUUAUCAGCUUGUUGGUGGAGGAGUGGCAUACCAAGGUUUUGACGGGUAGCCGGCCUGAGAGGGUGACCGGCCACAAUGGGACUGAGAUACGGCCCAGACUCCUACAGGAGGCAGCAGUGGGGAAUAUUGCACAAUAAGCGCAAGCCUGAUGCCACCACGCCGCGUGCGGGAUGACGGCCUUCGGGUUGUAAACAGCUGUAGCCUAUGACGAAGCGUGCGUGACGGUACUGGGUAAAGAAGCACCGGCUAACUACGUG